Molecule: ribosomal RNA, 253 nt
Filed under: uncultured bacterium
Lineage: Bacteria
Description: partial 16S ribosomal RNA
Rfam family: Bacterial small subunit ribosomal RNA
Source: RNAcentral
UACGUAGGGGGCAAGCGUUGUCCGGAUUUAUUGGGCGUAAAGAGCGUGUAGGCGGCCAGGUAGGUCUGGUGUGAAAACUCGAGGCUUAACCUCGAGAUGUCAUCGGAAACCAUUUGGCUAGAGUCCGGAAGAGGAGAGUGGAAUUCCUGGUGUAGCGGUGAAAUGCGCAGAUAUCAGGAGGAACACCAAUGGCGAAGGCAGCUCGCUGGGACGUUACUGACGCUGAGACGCGAAAGCGUGGGGAGCAAACAGG